RNAcentral lists this ribosomal RNA (227 nucleotides) under uncultured prokaryote. RNAcentral's name for it is "partial 16S ribosomal RNA". The record is from RNAcentral.
ACAUCAUGGUAACGCUGCAUGAAGUAAUCACGUUCUUGGUCAGUAUGCAAAUUAGCAUAAGCAGCUUGCAGACCCAUAAUGUCAAUAGAUGUGGUAGAAGUCGUCAUUUGGCGAGAAAGCUCAGUCUCAGGAGGAAGCGGAGCAGUCCAAAUGUUUUUGAGAUGGCAGCAACGGAAACCAUAACGAGCAUCAUCUUGAUUAAGCUCAUUAGGGUUAGCCUCGGUACG